This 448-nucleotide ribosomal RNA is filed under the name uncultured bacterium. RNAcentral describes it as "bacterial SSU rRNA". It matches the Rfam family "Bacterial small subunit ribosomal RNA", at positions 335 to 799 of the family's 1533-position model. The record is from RNAcentral.
ACUCCUACGGGAGGCAGCAGUGGGGAAUCUUAGACAAUGGGCGCAAGCCUGAUCUAGCCAUGCCGCGUGAGUGAUGAAGGCCUUAGGGUCGUAAAGCUCUUUCGCCAGGGAUGAUAAUGACAGUACCUGGUAAAGAAACCCCGGCUAACUCCGUGCCAGCAGCCGCGGUAAUACGGAGGGGGUUAGCGUUGUUCGGAAUUACUGGGCGUAAAGCGCGCGUAGGCGGAUUAGUCAGUUAGAGGUGAAAUCCCAGGGCUCAACCCUGGAACUGCCUUUAAUACUGCUAGUCUUGAGUUCGAGAGAGGUGAGUGGAAUUCCGAGUGUAGAGGUGAAAUUCGUAGAUAUUCGGAGGAACACCAGUGGCGAAGGCGGCUCACUGGCUCGAUACUGACGCUGAGGUGCGAAAGUGUGGGGAGCAAACAGGAUUAGAUACCCUGGUAGGAUAGCG